RNAcentral lists this long non-coding RNA (1039 nucleotides) under Populus trichocarpa (black cottonwood). RNAcentral describes it as "long non-coding RNA (PTRI_LNC001873)". The record is from RNAcentral. Lineage: Eukaryota; Viridiplantae; Streptophyta; Magnoliopsida; Malpighiales; Salicaceae.
CAAAAUAGCACACCUUUCUCCAGACUAAGGACACUGACACUCCCAGGUUCAAGGUAUAAACAAGGUUGAAAAAAAGGAGAAACAAACUAUCAAUUCCUAUUGCCCAUGUUUCCAUCGAUAAUAAAUGACACAGGGAAACAAUCACUAACUUCUUCUGUAAACAAUCUCGAAUUCUGUUGGAUGAAAAGAGAGUAGAUGUGGAAGUUCUGAGCAUGAUGGCUGGUGAAAGGAUGAUAUAACAGACCUAGCUCUAACUGUGGAAGGAAGAUUCACUGGUGAAGCCAUAAUCAUUAUUUCAGUUAUUAGGUGUUUCAACCCCCUGCUUCAUUGUAUGUUUAUGUUUAGAAACACGAGAAACAAACAAGUAGCUCUUUGUGCUUAGCUUACACCCCCAACGCUGGUCAAGAUGGCAUUGUCCACGAAGAACACGAGAAACCUAACUUUAUGCAGGCACCUACCAAACUUGAGCACAUGAACACCUGCAAUUUAGGGCAUAUCCUGCAGAAAAUCCCUAAAUAUAAUGCUUACCCCAACCCUUCACUGCACAACUUCAGGAUUACAGAAAGGACCCUAACUACACCGACUUCUCCACCCACAAGAUUUCUGAACUCCACUCACAACAUUCCUGUAAAACUCCAGAGUAACAAAAUGCUAAAAAAUAGCAGAAAUUACAAAAGAGCCAUCACUGUUCUAAGCUACAUCCCUCCAACAAAAUCUUGGAAAGUUAGUCCUAUGUUAAGUAGAUAUCUUCCAAAAAAGGGAGAACAUGAUAUGAAAAAUGCAUUUCUUUUCUUUUCCAUCAAAAUUUGAAUCAGUUCACGGCAACCUCAAUCUACCACCAAACUAUAGACCUAAACUACCUUGAAAACAGUUAAAUAAGAGUGCCACAUACCCCAUACAGAACCUCUCUAAGUUAGAAACUCUCCCCGGGACUUCCACCUUGAGAAUCUUUAGUUUUGUACGUGUAACAUUAGUAAUCACAAACAGCUCAUCGGAAAGUUCAUUUCACGUUAAUUCAAAGGGAGCUCUGAAAUCCGCA